CGGAGCUACCAUGCAAGCCGAGCGGUAUAGAUCUUUCGGGAUCUAGAGAGCGGCGUACGGGUGCGGAACACGUGUGCAACCUGCCUUUAUCUGGGGGAUAGCCUUUCGAAAAGGAGAUUAAUACCCCAUAAUAUAUCAGAUGGCAUCAUUUGAUAUUGAAAACUCCGGUGGAUAGAGAUGGGCACGCGCAAGAUUAGAUAGUUGGUGAGGUAACGGCUCACCAAGUCUACGAUCUUUAGGGGGCCUGAGAGGGUGAUCCCCCACACUGGUACUGAGACACGGACCAGACUCCUACGGGAGGCAGCAGUGAGGAAUAUUGGACAAUGGGUGAGAGCCUGAUCCAGCCAUCCCGCGUGAAGGACGACGGCCCUAUGGGUUGUAAACUUCUUUUGUAUAGGGAUAAACCUACCCUCGUGAGGGUAGCUGAAGGUACUAUACGAAUAAGCACCGGCUAACUCCGUGCCAGCAGCCGCGGUAAUACGGAGGGUGCAAGCGUUAUCCGGAUUUAUUGGGUUUAAAGGGUCCGUAGGCGGAUGUGUAAGUCAGUGGUGAAAUCUCACAGCUUAACUGUGAAACUGCCAUUGAUACUGCAUGUCUUGAGUGUUGUUGAAGUAGCUGGAAUAAGUAGUGUAGCGGUGAAAUGCAUAGAUAUUACUUAGAACACCAAUUGCGAAGGCAGGUUACUAAGCAACAACUGACCG
This 701-nucleotide ribosomal RNA is filed under the name Chryseobacterium sp. CI23. Its description in RNAcentral is "bacterial SSU rRNA". It matches the Rfam family "Bacterial small subunit ribosomal RNA", at positions 44 to 745 of the family's 1533-position model. Lineage: Bacteria; Pseudomonadati; Bacteroidota; Flavobacteriia; Flavobacteriales; Weeksellaceae. The record is from RNAcentral.